Molecule: ribosomal RNA, 698 nt
Filed under: uncultured marine archaeon
Lineage: Archaea
Description: bacterial SSU rRNA
Rfam family: Archaeal small subunit ribosomal RNA
Source: RNAcentral
GGGUAACCUGCCCUAUGCUGGAUAAUAACCUCGGGAAACUGAGAAUAAUGAUCCAUAGUUCACUACGCCUGGAACGGUGAGUGGAUGAAAGCUCCGGCGGUAUAGGAUGGGCCUGCGGCGUAUCAGGUUGUAGGGGGUGUAACGUACCCUCUAGCCCUCUACGCGUACGGGUGUUGGGAGACAUAGCCCGGAGAUGGAUUCUGAGACACGAAUCCAGACCCUACGGGGUGCAGCAGGCGCGAAAACUUGGCAAUGCGAGAAAUCGUGACCAGGGAACUCCAAGUGCAUCGGGUAAGACCGGUGCUUUUCUUGACUCUAAAUAGGUCUUGGAAUAAGGGGUGGGUAAGGACGGUGCCAGCCGCCGCGGUAAUACCGGCGCCUCAAGUGGUAGUCGCUUUUAUUGGGCCUAAAACGUCCGUAGCCGGUCUGAUACAUUCGUGGGUAAAUCAACCAGCUCAACUGGUUGGAUUCUGCGAGGACGGUCAGACUUGGGACCGGGAGAGGUGUGGGGUACGCUCAGGGUAGGGGUAAAAUCCUGUCAUCCUGAGCGGACCACCUGUUGCGAAGGCGCCACACUAGAACGGAUCCGACGGUCAGGGACGAAGCCUAGGGGCACGAACCGGAUUAGAUACCCGGGUAGUCCUAGGUGUAAACGCUGUGGACUUGAUGUUGGGGGUGCUCCGAGCACUCUCAGUGUC